This 369-nucleotide ribosomal RNA is filed under the name Stenophylla sp. MN352. Its description in RNAcentral is "partial 12S ribosomal RNA". Lineage: Eukaryota; Metazoa; Arthropoda; Insecta; Mantodea; Acanthopidae. The record is from RNAcentral.
AUACCCUAUUAUUUUUAAUGUAAAAUGAUUAGAACUGGAGUAUUAGUAGUUAAGGUCUUAAAACUUAAAGAAUUUGACGGUAUUAUAGUCUAUUUAGAGGAAUCUGUUAUGUAAUCGAUAAUCCACGCUGAACCUUACUUAUAUAACUUCUUGUAUAUCGCUGUUUAUGAUUAUAUUAUAAGGUAAUUUUCUGAAUAUAAAAUUAAUUGAUAUUUCAAGUCAAGGUGCAGUAAAUAUAUAAGAUGAAUAAUGGAUUACAAUAAAGUGUAUUUAUAUGGAUAAUAUAUUAAACUAAAAUUGAAGGAGGAUUUAAUAGUAAAUUCAAAAAGAUUAUUGGAUUGAUUUAGCUCUAUAAUAUGUACACAUCGC